UUUUUCAAUAUUUUCAAUAAUUUUUGAAGUUCAAUAUGGUUGACUCUUUCCUUUUAUUGUUAGUGGCGUAAGGCCCUUUGGAGUAUCUUUACUGGUUGCUGGGUUUGAUGACAAUGGACCACAAUUGUAUCAGGUGGACCCAUCAGGUUCAUAUUUCUCAUGGAAAGCCUCAGCAAUGGGAAAGAAUGUCUCAAAUGCAAAAACAUUCCUAGAGAAGAGGCAUACUGAUGAUAUGGAGCUUGAUGAUGCUGUGCAUACAUCUAUCCUGACGCUGAAGGAGGG
Molecule: long non-coding RNA, 282 nt
Organism: Carya illinoinensis
Lineage: Eukaryota; Viridiplantae; Streptophyta; Magnoliopsida; Fagales; Juglandaceae
Exons: 3
Source: RefSeq, a predicted model, not a curated record